This 492-nucleotide ribosomal RNA is filed under the name uncultured bacterium. RNAcentral's name for it is "partial 16S ribosomal RNA". It matches the Rfam family "Bacterial small subunit ribosomal RNA", at positions 29 to 507 of the family's 1533-position model. The record is from RNAcentral.
AGUGAACGCUGGCGGUAGGCCUAACACAUGCAAGUCGAACGGCAGCACAGUAAGAGCUUGCUCUUACGGGUGGCGAGUGGCGGACGGGUGAGGAAUACAUCGGAAUCUACUUUUUCGUGGGGGAUAACGUAGGGAAACUUACGCUAAUACCGCAUACGACCUACGGGUGAAAGCAGGGGAUCUUCGGACCUUGCGCGAUUGAAUGAGCCGAUGUCGGAUUAGCUAGUUGGCGGGGUAAAGGCCCACCAAGGCGACGAUCCGUAGCUGGUCUGAGAGGAUGAUCAGCCACACUGGAACUGAGACACGGUCCAGACUCCCACGGGAGGCAGCAGUGGGGAAUAUUGGACAAUGGGCGCAAGCCUGAUCCAGCCAUACCGCGUGGGUGAAGAAGGCCUUCGGGUUGUAAAGCCCUUUUGUUGGGAAAGAAAAGCAGCAGGUUAAUACCCCGCUGUUCUGACGGUACCCAAAGAACAAGCACCGGCUAACUUCGUG